UUCCCUCCAGAUGGGGAAGCAGAACUUGCUGACCAGGGUUGAUGCGGAUCAGACAGCCUUGGUGGGAGAGUUGCUGCUGGAAGAUGUGCGGGACAAAGUGUGAACUAAGCUGUAGUUGCACCUCGAGAAACAAAGGACUGCAGAUGCUGGAAUCUAGAUGAAAAUCACAAUGAUGCUGGAGGAACUCAGCAGGCCAGGCAGCAUCCGUGGAGAAAAGGUGCAUUCAAAAAGGGCAUGACAUGAUUGGAAGUAUCCUGACUGGUUGCAUCAAGGUCUGGUACAGGAACUUGAAGGUGCAGAGGAUAAGAAGCUGCAGAGGGUCAUGGACUUAGCCCAGUACAUCACUGGCACAUCCCUCCCCACCAUCAGAAGUAUCUACAUGAGA
Pristis pectinata (smalltooth sawfish) is the source of this 385-nucleotide long non-coding RNA. RefSeq lists it as uncharacterized. The transcript has 3 exons. NCBI's taxonomy places the organism in Eukaryota, Metazoa, Chordata, Chondrichthyes, Rhinopristiformes, Pristidae. The record is from RefSeq and is a predicted model, not a curated record.